Molecule: ribosomal RNA, 450 nt
Filed under: uncultured bacterium
Lineage: Bacteria
Description: partial 16S ribosomal RNA
Rfam family: Bacterial small subunit ribosomal RNA
Source: RNAcentral
GUGGGGAAUCUUCCGCAAUGGACGAAAGUCUGACGGAGCAACGCCGCGUGAGUGAAGAAGGUUUUCGGAUCGUAAAGCUCUUUCGUUAGGGACGAACGUGCUCUUUGUGAAUAAUGAGGAGUAAUGACGGUACCUAAAUAAGAAGCCACGGCUAACUACGUGCCAGCAGCCGCGGUAAUACAUAGGUGGCAAGCGUUGUCCGGAAUUAUUGGGCGUAAAGCGCGCGCAGGCGGGAUAUCAAGUCUGUCUUAAAAGUGCGAGGCUCAACCUCGUGAGGGGACAGAAACUGGUAUUCUUGAGUGUCGGAGAGGAAAGUGGAAUUCCAAGUGUAGCGGUGAAAUGCGUAGAGAUUUGGAAGAACACCAGUGGCGAAGGCGACUUUCUGGACGAUGUCUGACGCUGAGGCGCGAAAGCUAGGGGAGCGAACGGGAUUAGAUACCCGGGUAGUCC